This 423-nucleotide ribosomal RNA is filed under the name fungal sp. ARIZ B430. RNAcentral's name for it is "eukaryotic LSU rRNA". The stretch from base 88 to 241 matches the Rfam family "5.8S ribosomal RNA". The record is from RNAcentral. Lineage: Eukaryota; Fungi.
AAAACUCUUAUUGUAUACCCCCUCGCGGGUUUUUUUAUAAUCUGAGCCUUCUCGGCGCCUCUCGUAGGCGUUUCGAAAAUGAAUCAAAACUUUCAACAACGGAUCUCUUGGUUCUGGCAUCGAUGAAGAACGCAGCGAAAUGCGAUAAGUAAUGUGAAUUGCAGAAUUCAGUGAAUCAUCGAAUCUUUGAACGCACAUUGCGCCCGCCAGUAUUCUGGCGGGCAUGCCUGUCCGAGCGUCAUUUCAACCCUCGAACCCCUCCGGGGGGUCGGCGUUGGGGAUCGGCCCUCCCUUAGCGGGUGGCCGUCUCCGAAAUACAGUGGCGGUCUCGCCGCAGCCUCUCCUGCGCAGUAGUUUGCACACUCGCAUCGGGAGCGCGGCGCGUCCACAGCCGUUAAACACCCAACUUCUGAAAUGUGACCU